AGUGAACGCUGGCGGUAGGCCUAACACAUGCAAGUCGAACGGCAGCACAGUAAGAGCUUGCUCUUACGGGUGGCGAGUGGCGGACGGGUGAGGAAUACAUCGGAAUCUACUUUUUCGUGGGGGAUAACGUAGGGAAACUUACGCUAAUACCGCAUACGACCUACGGGUGAAAGCAGGGGAUCUUCGGACCUUGCGCGAUUGAAUGAGCCGAUGUCGGAUUAGCUAGUUGGCGGGGUAAAGGCCCACCAAGGCGACGAUCCGUAGCUGGUCUGAGAGGAUGACCAGCCACACUGGAACUGAGACACGGUCCAGACUCCUACGGGAGGCAGCAGUGGGGAAUAUUGGACAAGGGGCGCAAGCCUGAUCCAGCCAUACCGCGUGGGUGAAGAAGGCCUUCGGGUUGUAAAGCCCUUUUGUUGGGAAAGAAAAGCAGCAGGUUAAUACCCCGCUGUUCUGACGGUACCCAAAGAAUAAGCACCGGCUAACUUCGUG
This 492-nucleotide ribosomal RNA is filed under the name uncultured bacterium. RNAcentral describes it as "partial 16S ribosomal RNA". It matches the Rfam family "Bacterial small subunit ribosomal RNA", at positions 29 to 507 of the family's 1533-position model. The record is from RNAcentral.